This 253-nucleotide unclassified non-coding RNA is filed under the name uncultured Anaerolineae bacterium. RNAcentral's name for it is "contains 16S-23S intergenic spacer region". It matches the Rfam family "Bacterial small subunit ribosomal RNA", at positions 524 to 776 of the family's 1533-position model. Lineage: Bacteria; Bacillati; Chloroflexota; Anaerolineae. The record is from RNAcentral.
UACGUAGGUGGCGAACGUUAUCCGGAGUUACUGGGCGUAAAGGGUCCGCAGGCGGGCGAUUAAGUCCGGCGUGAAAGCUCCCGGCGCAACUGGGAGAGGACGUCGGAAACUGGCCGUCUUGAAUCUUGCAGAGGUCGGUGGAAUUCCCGGUGUAGUGGUGGAAUGCGUAGAGAUCGGGAGGAACCUCGAAAGCGAAGGCAGCCGGCUGGGCAAAGAUUGACGCUGAGGGACGAAAGCGUGGGGAGCGAACAGG